Molecule: ribosomal RNA, 550 nt
Filed under: uncultured bacterium
Lineage: Bacteria
Description: bacterial SSU rRNA
Rfam family: Bacterial small subunit ribosomal RNA
Source: RNAcentral
UAGGGAAUCUUCGGCAAUGGGGGGAACCCUGACCGAGCAACGCCGCGUGAGUGAAGAAGGUUUUCGGAUCGUAAAGCUCUGUUGUUAAGGAAGAACGUGUGUGAGAGUGGAAAGUUCACACAGUGACGGUACUUAACCAGAAAGGGACGGCUAACUACGUGCCAGCAGCCGCGGUAAUACGUAGGUCCCGAGCGUUGUCCGGAUUUAUUGGGCGUAAAGCGAGCGCAGGCGGUUAGAUAAGUCUGAAGUGAAAGGCAGUGGCUCAACCAUUGUAGGCUUUGGAAACUGUUUAACUUGAGUGCAGAAGGGGAGAGUGGAAUUCCAUGUGUAGCGGUGAAAUGCGUAGAUAUAUAGAGGAACACCGGUGGCGAAAGCGGCUCUCUGGUCUGUAACUGACGCUGAGGCUCGAAAGCGUGGGGAGCGAACAGGAUUAGAUACCCUGGUAGUCCACGCCGUAAACGAUGAGUGCUAGGUGUUAGGUCCUUUCCGGGACUUAGUGCCGCAGCUAACGCAUUAAGCACUCCGCCUGGGGAGUACGACCGCAAGGUUG